This 1240-nucleotide ribosomal RNA is filed under the name Rhodactis sp. CASIZ 171755. Its description in RNAcentral is "small subunit ribosomal RNA". It matches the Rfam family "Bacterial small subunit ribosomal RNA". Lineage: Eukaryota; Metazoa; Cnidaria; Anthozoa; Corallimorpharia; Discosomidae. The record is from RNAcentral.
UGGCUUUGGUUCUUAUUUGUUAGAUAUUAGUGGGUAGACUUAGCCUAAGCUUUUUAUUGUUUAGUGGGGUUCUGUUUAAAUAUUUUUAAAAAUCCUUUGGUUUUGGGGAACUAGGAAUAUACGUGUCUUUCUUAUACAUGCUAGUGGAUGACGGUUAAAGAGGGGACAAAAUGUGCGAACAGGUGAGGAAACCCGAGAGCUAAGUUUUGGGGCGGGGCUGGAGUCGUAUUAGGUCGAAGGUGGUAUAAAAGACCACCUUGCCCAGGAUGCGUGGCUUUAAACUGGAAGCCAUCUUUUCACUGAAGCAAAGGGAGGGCUCAAAAAGGGAGCGAAAAGCUCCUGAGGCAGCAGUAUAUAACUUUAUGCAAUGUACGAAAGUGCGACAUAGAAGGGGCGUAUAACUUAAUCUGUCUAAUUAAGUGCCAGCAGACGCGGUGAAACUUAAGGAUUAGUAUUAUAGGAAAAAGCGUAAAGGGUGUGAGGGGCUUAUCCCGACAAGAGGGUAAAUGGAAUUUUUCUGUAGGGGUAGAAUGUGUAGAUAGAAAAAAGAACUCUAAACGCGAAGGCAAUUUAUCUCAUGGGAGGGACGCCAACUGCUCCGUUGUUACACGAAAGUAUGGGGAGCAAACAGGAUUAGAGACCCUGGUAGUCUAUAUUGUAAAUAAUGAAGAAGAUGUGAGGCAAUCCUAAAGGGUAAUAAAUUUUUCGCUUGAGUAGUAUGAUCGCAAGAUUUAAAUUCAAAAAACUUGGCUGCUCACUGCUAUGAUCAGAGGAGCGUGUCGUUUAAUUCGAUAGUCCGCGAGAGACCUUACCCAAACUUGAAUUCGCCCUUUAACAGGUAUUGCAUGGCCGUCGUCAAUUUGUGUAUUAAAUGUAAAACGGAUUCAACCCAGUGGUUGGCAUCCCCUCGUCUUCGGAGCGGUGCCAUUAUUGGAUGAAGUCAGGUCUUAUUGUCCUAAUGUUUGGGGAUUAGAUGCGCUACAUUUUCUUAUACAAUGGGAGAUUUUGAAGGUGGAACCCUAAAGUAAGAGUUCGGGAGGUGGCUGGAAGAUAACUGAAAGUUGAAUUUGAUAGUAAUUAGAAAGUAGAGCGUUCUGGUGAAAUUGAUGCAGUGUUAGUACAAAUAGCCCGUCGCCUUGGUCAAGAAUGGUUAGUCAAACGCCCCCUAUUGUUGGGGUAUGGUGUAACUUUGAGAUGAAGUAAGUCGUAACAUAGUAAGGGUGGGGGAACUGGCUCUUGG